UGGUUCAUGAAGAAGCAAUCAACAGAACUGAUUGGCUGUGGUGGAGGGGAAGGUCAGAGGAGCGGGGAGGAGAAAACUCAGAACUCCUUUGUGCCUCUGAGAGCGAGGGUGCCUGGGUAGGAGGUGGCACCCCCAGGAGGGACGACGGACGUCUAAAGAAGGAGCAGGAGUUCACAUCCACCCUCAUGUCUGUGUGGCAAGAUGGCAGAGGGUGACCACAGGAGGCCUGGCGUGCAGCCGACAGAGCCCUGCAAACCCAAACAUCACGUCCCCUGACUCCUCUCAGACAUUGAUGAAGUGCCAGGCAACAUGCAGGAGGCAAACUGCUAGAACUGGAGGAGACUGGAUCGAUGAGGAAGAUACGGUGUUCCUGCUCUUGGGAAGCCCACAGACAUUUCCAUAAACAGCUACAAACAACUUGGAACGUCGUAUAAUAAAGGCAUGUGUGUUAUGUA
This is a long non-coding RNA of Herpailurus yagouaroundi (jaguarundi), 455 nucleotides long. RefSeq lists it as uncharacterized. The record is from RefSeq and is a predicted model, not a curated record. The transcript has 3 exons. NCBI's taxonomy places the organism in Eukaryota, Metazoa, Chordata, Mammalia, Carnivora, Felidae.